GACGAACGCUGGCGGCGCGCUUAACACAUGCAAGUCGAACGGAAAGGCCUGCUUUCCCUUGUGGAUUGCGGGUACUCGAGUGGCGAACGGGUGAGUAACACGUGAGUGAUCUGCCCCCAACUUGGGUAUAAGCCUGGGAAACUGGGUCUAAUUCCCGAUAGGACUGCAGGGUGGUGCCUGUGGUGGAAAACGAUUUUCUAGUGGUUGGGGAUGAGCUCGCGGCCUAUCAGCUUGUUGGUGGGGUAAUGGCCUACCAAGGCGGCGACGGGUAGCCGGCGUGAGAGGGUGGACGGCCACAUUGGGACUGAGCUACGGCCCAGACUCCGACGGGAGGCAGCAGUGGGGAAUAGUGGACAAUGGGCGGAAGCCUGAUGCAGCGACGCCGCGUGGGGGAUGACGGCCUUCGGGUGGUAAACUCCUUUCGACCGCGAGGAAGCCACCUGGUUGGAAGGGUGGUGACGGUAGUGGUAGAAGAAGCACCGGCUAACUACGUG
This 494-nucleotide ribosomal RNA is filed under the name uncultured bacterium. Its description in RNAcentral is "partial 16S ribosomal RNA". It matches the Rfam family "Bacterial small subunit ribosomal RNA", at positions 28 to 507 of the family's 1533-position model. The record is from RNAcentral.